GAUGAACGCUAGCGGCAGGCCUAACACAUGCAAGUCGAGGGAGGAGCUUUCGGGCUUCGACCGGCGUACGGGUGCGUAACGCGUAUACAAUCUGCCUUUCACAUAGGGAUAGCCCGAAGAAAUUUGGAUUAAUACCUAAUGGUAUAUAGAGGUGGCAUCACCUUUAUAUUAAAGCUGAGGCGGUGAAAGAUGAGUAUGCGUCCUAUUAGCUAGUUGGAGAGGUAACGGCUCCCCAAGGCGACGAUAGAUAGGGGUUCUGAGAGGGAUAUCCCCCACACUGGUACUGAGAUACGGACCAGACUCCUACGGGAGGCAGCAGUGAGGAAUAUUGGACAAUGGUCGGAAGACUGAUCCAGCCAUGCCGCGUGCAGGAAGACGGCCUUAUGGGUUGUAAACUGCUUUUGCAGGGGAAGAAUAAGGACUACGCGUAGUUUGAUGACGGUACUCUGCGAAUAAGCAUCGGCUAACUCCGUG
This 474-nucleotide ribosomal RNA is filed under the name uncultured bacterium. RNAcentral's name for it is "partial 16S ribosomal RNA". It matches the Rfam family "Bacterial small subunit ribosomal RNA", at positions 28 to 507 of the family's 1533-position model. The record is from RNAcentral.